Long non-coding RNA from Solanum dulcamara, 1035 nucleotides. RefSeq lists it as uncharacterized. NCBI's taxonomy places the organism in Eukaryota, Viridiplantae, Streptophyta, Magnoliopsida, Solanales, Solanaceae. The transcript has 3 exons. The record is from RefSeq and is a predicted model, not a curated record.
UAGGCUUAGGAGACUUUACGGAAUCAGUUUUGGAGCUGUAACGAAGAUUUGAGGCCUUGAGUUGAGAAUUUGAGGAACUUUAAGCCAAGGUUUGACUUUGGUCAACUUUUGGAGUUCCGAUGCUCGGAAUGGAAUUCCGACAACUCCGUUGGAUUCAAGAGAUGGUUUUUGGUCUAGAAGAAGUAUUGGUUGAAUUUUUAGAGGUCCCGAGUCCAUUUUGGUAUUUUAAAGGCCUAAGUUAGUUUAGUUGCGACUUUUUGAGUUUUGGGCCAACGAAAUCUCGAAUUCAAAUUUUGAUGGUUCCAUCAGCUCCGGAAUGACCAAAUUAGGCUAGUAGCACUGUUGGAAUGACUAUCGAGUCAAUCGAUACGAAUUUGGGGCUAUUUGGUGCUUUUGACUUUGAAACUUAGCCUAUAGUUGACUUUGGUCAACAUUUUUGGAAAAUGCGCUCGAAUAAAAAUUCUGACAGCGCGGUUAGUUCCGAAAUGUUGAUUUUGGUCUAGAACGACCCUUCGUUCGCUUUUUGAGGCUUCCGAACUAAUAUCGAGGCCCGUUGUGAAAUAUGACUUAAAAUGACUCUUGGAUGUGGGGCCCACUUUUUAUUAUAAUAACCUCGUAUGAGAAUUCUGAAUGCGCCAUUGAGUCCGAAAUAUCGAAUUUAGUAGGGUAGCAUAUCUGGUUUAUUUUUAUCGGAUUCCGAACGAAUUCCGAGGGUCCAUUCGGAGACUUUAAAUAAUGAAAAACCAGAAAAAUCUGGUGCAAUAGUGCAGAUUUUGCACCAGAUUUUCAGAUUUUUCUCCUCAACUUUGAACCCUCAUUUCUUGAGUUCUAGAGCUCCAAAUUGGGUGAUUCAAAAGGCAAAAUUGUGAGGUUUUUCGUGGAGAACGCAUUGGAGAGAUUGAAAACUGAUUUGGAGCAUUCGAUUCAGAGGCUAUCUUGCGUGGAAAUUUAAGGAGAACAUCUUGGAAGUUUCAGAAUCUGUUUUUGGCAUGUCGUUCGAGCUUGGCAGCGUUCCGAGGCCGUUCGAAAGGGAAA